GCUUUCUGGUCGAGUGGUAAGGACACUUGCCUGUCACCCUGGAAUUCCGGGUUCGAUCCCCGGUCGAGGAGCU
Molecule: transfer RNA, 73 nt
Filed under: Rhamnusium bicolor
Lineage: Eukaryota; Metazoa; Arthropoda; Insecta; Coleoptera; Cerambycidae
Description: tRNA-OTHER
Source: RNAcentral